GUCAGCAGCCGCGGGAACACCGGCGGCCCGAGUGGUGAUCGUGAUUAUUGGGUCUAAAGGGUCCGUAGCCGGUUUGGUCAGUCCUCCGGGAAAUCUGAUAGCUCAACUAUUAGGCUUUCGGGGGAUACUGCCAGACUUGGAACCGGGAGAGGUAAGAGGUACUACAGGGGUAGGAGUGAAAUCUUGUAAUCCCUGUGGGACCACCUGUGGCGAAGGCGUCUUACCAGAACGGGUUCGACGGUGAGGGACGAAAGCUGGGGGCACGAACCGGAUUAGAUACCCGGGUAGUCCCAGCCGUAAACGAUGCUCGCUAGGUGUCAGGCAUGGCGCGACCGUGUCUGGUGCCGCAGGGAAGCCGUGAAGCGAGCCACCUGGGAAGUACGGCCGCAAGGCUGAAACUUAAAGGAAUUGGCGGGGGAGCACAACAACGGGUGGAAGCCUGCGGUUUAAUUGGACUCAACGCCGGACAACUCACCGGGGGCGACAGCAAUAUGUAGGCCAAGCUGAAGACUUUGCCUGAAUCGCUGAGAAGAGGUGCAUGG
Molecule: ribosomal RNA, 542 nt
Filed under: uncultured archaeon
Lineage: Archaea
Description: bacterial SSU rRNA
Rfam family: Archaeal small subunit ribosomal RNA
Source: RNAcentral